RNAcentral lists this ribosomal RNA (250 nucleotides) under uncultured bacterium. Its description in RNAcentral is "partial 16S ribosomal RNA". It matches the Rfam family "Bacterial small subunit ribosomal RNA", at positions 524 to 773 of the family's 1533-position model. The record is from RNAcentral.
UACGAAGGGGGCUAGCGUUGUUCGGAAUUACUGGGCGUAAAGGGCGUGUAGGCGGUUAAAUAAGUCAGAUGUGAAAGCCCCGGGCUUAACCUGGGAUGUGCAUAUGAUACUGUUUAGCUAGAGGACGAGAGAGGAUAGUGGAAUUGCGAGUGUAGAGGUGAAAUUCGUAGAUAUUCGCAAGAACACCAGUGGCGAAGGCGACUGUCUGGCUCGAUUCUGACGCUGAGGCGCGAGAGCGUGGGGAGCAAAC